RNAcentral lists this ribosomal RNA (598 nucleotides) under uncultured bacterium. RNAcentral describes it as "bacterial SSU rRNA". The stretch from base 1 to 520 matches the Rfam family "Bacterial small subunit ribosomal RNA", at positions 338 to 873 of the family's 1533-position model. The record is from RNAcentral.
CCUACGGGAGGCAGCAGUGGGGAAUAUUGCACAAUGGGCGAAAGCCUGAUGCAGCGACGCCGCGUGAGGGAUGACGGCCUUCGGGUUGUAAACCUCUUUCAGCAGGGAAGAAGCGAAAGUGACGGUACCUGCAGAAGAAGCGCCGGCUAACUACGUGCCAGCAGCCGCGGUAAUACGUAGGGCGCAAGCGUUGUCCGGAAUUAUUGGGCGUAAAGAGCUCGUAGGCGGCUUGUCACGUCGGAUGUGAAAGCCCGAGGCUUAACCUCGGGUCUGCAUUCGAUACGGGCUAGCUAGAGUGUGGUAGGGGAGAUCGGAAUUCCUGGUGUAGCGGUGAAAUGCGCAGAUAUCAGGAGGAACACCGGUGGCGAAGGCGGAUCUCUGGGCCAUUACUGACGCUGAGGAGCGAAAGCGUGGGGAGCGAACAGGAUUAGAUACCCUGGUAGUCCACGCCGUAAACGUUGGGAACUAGGUGUUGGCGACAUUCCACGUCGUCGGUGCCGCNGCUACGCAUAGUUCCGCCGUGGAGACGGCGCGAGACGAACUAACUAAUAGAGUUAGUAGCGUUGAGACGNGCCGACGGACGACGACGAGGGAGAGG